Molecule: long non-coding RNA, 1538 nt
Organism: Calidris pugnax (ruff)
Lineage: Eukaryota; Metazoa; Chordata; Aves; Charadriiformes; Scolopacidae
Exons: 3
Source: RefSeq, a predicted model, not a curated record
GUGGUGCGUGGGAGUGGGGCUGCCCCACAGGUCGGGGGGGGCUGUGCCGGGUCCCCUGUGGAUGCUUCCCACCGUCGUGGCCUCAGAGCACGGCGGGUCCUCACCCUGGGGGGGGGCUGUGAGGCCGUGCUCGGGCCGGACGCCCACCCCGGGAGCAGCCGUCACCCCGGGGCCCGGUCCCCUGCAUUCUCCCCCGAGAGGGGUUCUUCUCCAGCUCCACAGUGAUGCCGGGACCCUGCCCCCCAGCUCUGCCCUUCUCCCCCCGACGGCAAAACCUCCCUGUUCGUGGAGGGGAAGUUGGUGGACUGCUACGAGCCUAAAGUGAGAGCAGUAAGUGCCGGGGUGGGGAGGGAAGGCUGCCUGCACCGGUCCCCACUUCCUGCUGCCUCCAUGAGGUCACAGGGGAUGAGGACAGGCACAUCCCCGCAUCCCCAAAGCCUGGUGCCAGGGUCUGAGACACCCCUGGAGGCGCCUGGAGGGAAGGCUCAUCCCCAGGGCAGGUCCCCGUUUACCUGGUGCCACCUCUGCAGCCUCCAACAAGACGGUGGUGGUGGGCAAGGAUGAGUUCCAGCUGGUGGGCACAGCCGGGCAGGAUGACACCACCCUGCUCCACUCCUUUGUCAUCAGCAUCCACAGCUAUGUCCUGGUGGACUUGGUGACCUCCUUGCAGAGGUGAGGGACCCUGCUGGGAUGUCCCCACUCUCUCGGGGCUGGGCCCACCUGAGGGGGAAGGUUCUGGUGGGGGGGCAGUGCCCAGAAUUCCUCCCUUUCCCCUGUGAGAAACCAGUGGUGAAGACCCUUCAGAACAAGACCCUGAGAGCCAGGGGAAAACGUGGAAGAUGUGGAAGGUGCUGUCUCUCCUGGGGAGGAAGAAGGCCCGGGGGAUCGGGGGGUGUCCCUCACCCUCCCCAUGCCCACAACAUGCCCGUGGUGCGGACAGGGAACAAGGUGGACCUGUCCCUGCGGAGGUAAGGAGGGCUCUGAGGGUCCCUGUCCCCACCUGAAGGCCUGUCCUCUGUGGUGUCUCCAGCUGGGAGGUGAAGAUGGAUGAAGGGAAGAAGCUGGUGGAGUCGUGGGGGGCCAUUUUCCUGGAGGCCUCGGCCAAGGAGAGGCAGGUGACCUGGAGGAUUUUCACGAAGAUCAUUGAGGAGCUCAACGGGGUGGACAACUCCAGCAGAUCCAGCGGCUGCUGCCUGACAUGAGCCUGGGGCUGACCCCCAGGACUAGACAGAGGCCUCCCACGGGACCAUCCCCUGGGUCACGGCAGCGGCUUUGGGGGCGGGUGGUCCGGCCGUUGUAUGGGACCCCUCACUUUGCACAGGCUGUGGGGCUCACGAGAGGCUGGGAGUGGGGUGGGGGGACCCAUCCCAGCCAGGGAGCACCCCCUGCUCAUGGCUGCUGUCUCCUCACAUGCACAAGGACACAUGGGGGGGGUGUUCCCCCUCUGGGCACGGGGAGCUGGGGCUGAAUGCGGGUGUUGUUCCCAGCGUGGGUCUGUGGGCCGGCUGUGCCGUGUUGGCAGCCGGCGCUUGGGGGAG